This 548-nucleotide ribosomal RNA is filed under the name uncultured Glomeromycotina. RNAcentral describes it as "SSU rRNA". It matches the Rfam family "Eukaryotic small subunit ribosomal RNA", at positions 548 to 1098 of the family's 1831-position model. Lineage: Eukaryota; Fungi; Glomeromycota. The record is from RNAcentral.
UUGGAGGGCAAGUCUGGUGCCAGCAGCCGCGGUAAUUCCAGCUCCAAUAGCGUAUAUUAAAGUUGCUGCAGUUAAAAAGCUCGUAGUUGAAUUUCGGGACUAAUAUGUCGGUCGUUCCUCGGUACGUACUGGUAUUUUUGGUUUCUCCCUUCUGACGAACCUUGAUGUCAUUAAUUUGGUGUCUUGGGAAAUCAGGACUGUUACUUUGAAAAAAUUAGAGUGUUUAAAGCAGGCUCACGCCUGAAUACAUUAGCAUGGAAUAAUGAAAUAGGACGUUUGAUUCUAUUUUGUUGGUUUCUAGGAUUGACGUAAUGAUUAAUAGGGAUAGUUGGGGGCAUUAGUAUUCAAUUGUCAGAGGUGAAAUUCUUGGAUUUAUUGAAGACUAACUACUGCGAAAGCAUUUGCCAAGGAUGUUUUCAUUAAUCAAGAACGAAAGUUAGGGGAUCGAAGACGAUCAGAUACCGUCGUAGUCUUAACCAUAAACUAUGCCGACUAGGGAUCGGAUGAUGUUAAUUUUUUAAUGACUCAUUCGGCGCCUUACGGGAAAC